Molecule: ribosomal RNA, 496 nt
Filed under: uncultured bacterium
Lineage: Bacteria
Description: partial 16S ribosomal RNA
Rfam family: Bacterial small subunit ribosomal RNA
Source: RNAcentral
GAUGAACGCUGGCGGCGUGCCUAACACAUGCAAGUCGAACGAAGCUACAUUUUACGAUCCCUUCGGGGUGACGAAUUGUAGACUGAGUGGCGGACGGGUGAGUAACGCGUGGGCAACCUGCCCUAUACCGGGGGAUAGCAGCUGGAAACGGCUGAUAAUACCGCAUAAGCGCACAGAGAGACAUCUCUUGGUGUGAAAAACUCCGGUGGUAUAGGAUGGACCCGCGUCUGAUUAGCCAGUUGGUGAGGUAAAGGCCCACCAAAGCGAAGAUCGGGAGGCGACCUGAGAGGGUGACCGGCGACAGUGGGAGUGAGACACGGCCCAAAAUCCUACGGGAGGCAGCAGUGGGGAAUAUUGCACAAAGGGCGAACGACUGAUGCAGCGGCGCCGCGUGAGUGAGGAAGUAUUUCGGUAUGUAAAGCUCUAUCAGCAGGGAAGAAAAUGACGGUACCUGACUAAGAAGCUCCGGCUAAAUACGUGCCAGCAGCCGCGGUAA